Long non-coding RNA from Ictidomys tridecemlineatus (thirteen-lined ground squirrel), 2368 nucleotides. RefSeq lists it as uncharacterized. Lineage: Eukaryota; Metazoa; Chordata; Mammalia; Rodentia; Sciuridae. The record is from RefSeq and is a predicted model, not a curated record.
AAAAGGCAGGGAGCAUUCCAGGCCACAGAGCUAGGGCUCUGUGGCUUGAGUACCCUAAAGCCUUGGUUCAUCAUUGAAGCAGCCAAGAUCCCCCACCCUCCAGAAGCCUCAGCAGGUCACCAGCAGAGGUUCCAAUGUGGCUGAGCAGACUGAGAAAAUCACCAGACUGGGCAGUGGGGCUGCCACCUCCCAGGUGGAAACUGCAUCUCCCUGCCCCCAGUACUGGCCAUGCCAGAAGAAGCAAGGGGUUCUGGGGUCCCACAUGGGGGCCUGCAGGGAAAGGAGUCCCUUGGGAUGGGAAGGCCGUCUCAUUUCACAGCACAGCUCCCUUCCAACCCCAAUAGCCUCUGGGAAAAUGACAAUCACCCCACCAGCAACCCAGAGACAGUUCCUCCCUAGGAUCUGUGAUCUUGGAACAAAAAGCUACCCUACUCCUUAGUGCCUCCUCGCCUCUGCCACCCACCCUUUUGGGUCCCUGGCAGGGACUGUGCCCUGGUCAGGACAGCUAGCAGCCCAUGUGCUUCCACCCCCACCCUCUCUCUGUUCCCAAUUCCCAGGUCAUGACACUGGAGCAGGAAGCGAAACCAGAGGUGGAGCCUGAGAAGGAUGGGGUUAUGGAUCCAAAGGACUAUAAAGAGCCUCAUAGGUCCUGGCCAGAGACCCUUUGCUGUGUCGCUGCACCUUCCCAGCAUCAUGGUAAUGUCUGGUGGCCAAGUCUGGGUCCCUGUCAACUGUAUCCUCCAGGAGAUUGGGGCUGGAAACUAAAACCAAAGGCCCCUCCCCAGACCCCCUAAGGGCAUGAUGGAGGAAAGCCAUUCUGGCUACUAAGACAGCUGCUAGGGCUUCCUGUCCCUGCUUGGGGUGGUGGGGAUGAGAAGAGUUCCUGGUUGAGCAUUGAAAGGCUCAGGGACUCUGUAGGUGUGUAUCAUAUUUAUGGGCAUCACAGUCUGAAUUUGUAUAUGCGCUUUUGUGUUAUAGAUGCAGAAUUUUCUAGGCAUGGUGGGGGCUGUAGGGGGCAGAAUUCCCAGGCUGGCAUUGCUGUAUGGGACUGAUAAUCAUUUAACAUGCAAUACUGAGCACCUACUAAGUGUCAGGCCCUGUUCUAUGUGCCUGAGCUACAUCAAUAAGAUAAAACAGGUAAAAGGCCAGCUAUCAAGGCAUUUAACAUUGAGGCAGAAGGUGUGGCUGGGAAGGAACUCAGUCAAUAAAUAUAACAAACAGAGUAUAGUAAGUAGGGAAAAGCAGAGCGAGAAGAGGAGCUGGGUUGCAAUUAUAAAUAGGGGUGUCAGCGUGGAACCCAUUCAGAAGGUGAAUUUUGAGCUGAUGCUUGAAGGAGGCAACGGAAUUGGCCCUGCCGAUGUCUGUCUGGUUGAAGAAGCAUCAGGAAGGCAGCAGUUCUGUCCCGUGUUUUUGAGGAACAGCAAGGAAGCAGAGGAGGCUGGAGGAGGGGGGUGAACAAGGAGUCUGCUAGAAAGGUCAGUGAGGUGAGGGAGGGACCGAUGGCUCUACGCCACGUGUCCAUCUCAGGUCGGGUCUCCCUGUCCAUUUUGAUCUCGGUGUUUCGUGUGCAUCAUUGUUCACGUCCAGAAGUGCACCUUUCACCCUGGGCAACCGGAUGUCCCUUAAAGCGCACAUACACCUGUGUAUGUCCCAGAGGCAGACACACUCCUUGGUCUGGGUGCCCCCGCACCCCUAUUUUCCCAUCCCGCCUGGCAUCUGUAACUUCGAGUCCUUGCGCUGGGCAAAACCCCGCCGGGCCGUCACGUGACUGCCGGGUGCUGUCCGCGGGGUCUGCAGGCUCAGCGUUGCGCGUGCGCAGUAGUGCUGGUGUGCCUACUGUCGCUGCUGCUACCUCCCGAGGGCGCUCUAGGCAAGGAGCAGGCACCGCAGGACCUCCCGGAGCCCAGGUUGUUCAACUGGUUGGCGAAUUUCAACAAGUACGUUGGGAAGAUCUUCAACGACAGCUUGGGAAAGUUUAAAAACCUGAAGAAGCUCAUAGAAGCCACGAAACCUCCCCCUUCGAACGCCACGAAACUCCCUACGGCUAGCCCUACGAAGUCCCAGACGCCGAGCACCCUGGUAGUAGGACCACCGAUCACGUCCCCAGGCCCCAGGUAGGGGAGCUGGGGCACUGCUGGCACUUCGUCGGGGACCUGGGAACCAAGGGCAGCUUGGGUGAGAGCAAGAGGAAGCUCCUGGGGGCAGGGGUGGAGGGAGAUAGCAGGGCCCAGGGGACUUCCUUCUCCAGGAUGGGCCUUGACCUCCAGGCACCUGGCUCAGAUGUCACCGCCCACCGCCCACCGACCACUUUACAUUGUGAGAGGGGCCUCAACUCCUCAGCGAGAGCAAUAAAAAAAUACAAUCUGUA